GCGGCAGGCCUAACACAUGCAAGUCGAGCGGAAACGAGUUAUCUGAACCUUCGGGGAACGAUAACGGCGUCGAGCGGCGGACGGGUGAGUAAUGCCUAGGAAAUUGCCCUGAUGUGGGGGAUAACCAUUGGAAACGAUGGCUAAUACCGCAUGAUGCCUACGGGCCAAAGAGGGGGACCUUCGGGCCUCUCGCGUCAGGAUAUGCCUAGGUGGGAUUAGCUAGUUGGUGAGGUAAGGGCUCACCAAGGCGACGAUCCCUAGCUGGUCUGAGAGGAUGAUCAGCCACACUGGAACUGAGACACGGUCCAGACUCCUACGGGAGGCAGCAGUGGGGAAUAUUGCACAAUGGGCGCAAGCCUGAUGCAGCCAUGCCGCGUGUGUGAAGAAGGCCUUCGGGUUGUAAAGCACUUUCAGUCGUGAGGAAGGUAGUGUAGUUAAUAGCUGCAUUAUUUGACGUUAGCGACAGAAGAAGCACCGGCUAACUCCGUGCCA
This 492-nucleotide ribosomal RNA is filed under the name marine sediment bacterium ISA-7320. RNAcentral describes it as "bacterial SSU rRNA". It matches the Rfam family "Bacterial small subunit ribosomal RNA", at positions 39 to 510 of the family's 1533-position model. The record is from RNAcentral.